This 510-nucleotide ribosomal RNA is filed under the name Salinicoccus roseus. RNAcentral's name for it is "bacterial SSU rRNA". It matches the Rfam family "Bacterial small subunit ribosomal RNA", at positions 37 to 526 of the family's 1533-position model. Lineage: Bacteria; Bacillati; Bacillota; Bacilli; Caryophanales; Staphylococcaceae. The record is from RNAcentral.
UGGCGGCGUGCCUAAUACAUGCAAGUCGAACGCGCGGAUCAGGAGCUUGCUCCUGUGACGCGAGUGGCGGACGGGUGAGUAACACGUAGGCAACCUGCCCAUCAGACCGGGAUAACCACGGGAAACCGUGGCUAAUACCGGAUAAUCCUUUUCCACACAGGUGGGAAAGUUGAAAGGCGGUCUUUUGGCUGUCACUGAUGGAUGGGCCUGCGGCGCAUUAGCUGGUUGGUGGGGUAACGGCCCACCAAGGCGACGAUGCGUAGCCGACCUGAGAGGGUGAUCGGCCACACUGGGACUGAGACACGGCCCAGACUCCUACGGGAGGCAGCAGUAGGGAAUCUUCCGCAAUGGACGAAAGUCUGACGGAGCAACGCCGCGUGAGUGAAGAAGGGUUUCGGCUCGUAAAACUCUGUUGUCAGGGAAGAACGCCGACGGGAGUAACUGCCCGUCGGGUGACGGUACCUGACCAGAAAGCCACGGCUAACUACGUGCCAGCAGCCGGUUUAAUAC